AAGACUUUUCGCUAGCAGUCUGUUCCGCGAGCAGCAUGAGCUACAGUGGCUAUCCCUCGUCCUCCCAAACGAAAAAGGGAACGUCAGCGCCUCCAAAAAAUUUGGAGCUACAGUGGCUUAAGAGAGAAUUUGUACCCAUAUGACGCGAGCAUUCAACAUAAAUUGGAGGCAGCAUACAAAUCCAAGCAAAAAAAGAUGUCAUUUGACGUAAAAAAAUUAAAAAUACAUGAUCGAUUUUGAGCGCAUGCUGCAAAUAAAUCAAAGGGACACUUCAAAAGUUAGAAGAGUGACUCGCGAAAAGGUUAAGAAUAGAAAGACAACACCUUAGCAGCUGACAAAUAAAGCAAGUUGCUCUUCAAAAAUCUAAUUCAACUAGAUUGCCUGUACCACCGACCCAGAAAGUAGAAGCAAAGCCAGCGAACAAAUCACCGUCACCUUCAACGACGACGUCAAUGACAAGCGCACCGAUAAUUCCAGUUUCACCGGCCAAAAAAAACGCCGCAGCAAAAGUGGCAAUGUUUAAAUAAUAAAGGAAGUAGGCAUUUAAUAGAGAAGAACCUUUUUGCAUUAUGAUGCGUUGGUUUGUAAAAAAAAUAAUUCAACUGAUUUAUUAACAGCCAAUUAAUAUAAAAGAACAUAAAUAUCAAAGAAAGGUUUAAACGGAUUACUAAUAUACUUUAAAAAGCAAUUUCUGGCCGCACUAAACUAAGAAACAAAAAGAAAUAGCUGUGUUGUUUGCUAAAUAAAUUAGUUUAACGUUCGUGUUAUUUCUAGUAAUUUUGGUUGGUUAAUUUUUGCGUCCUAGAUUGGCAGAAAUUCGAGGAUAACCUGCAAGAGCUACUUGAAAGCAGAUUUCAAUACAGUAUUGAAAGAUGCACAUUCUCUCGAGAUGGGAUAUUGUACGACAUAAACUUCAGCCCUGCCGCCCUUUCUGACUUUGCUAAAAGCAAGAUCAAGAGUUUGAUCGCCUCCGUUAGUUCUCAAUCAAUUAAAGAAGCUGAGCUCGCCACGACACCUGGAAACACGCUUGAUUUGCCGAAUGAUGUGCCGCAUGUCUGGUAUUUUAUUGAUGAUGACGGAGUAUACAGAGGAGAACCAAGAGAAGCUGGAAUCUUGUAGAUCAUCUGGAUAUUUAUUUGCUGCCAUUUUCAUCGGUUCUGAUUGUUUAUCAGUCGAUAUGAAAGAAAUGAAGCAAACGAAGUAUGGUGACCAAACAUAUUCUCCAAAAUUAGUUAUUCGAGAGCCAAAAAAGUUGACUGAUAGAAAUCUACAUUCAACGAAAACUCUAGUUGGCGAGACGCCCCAACCCUCGUAAGUUUGGUAUUAUGAGGACGCUUACGGAGCUAAAACAUAAUCAAAUGCAACUGGAACGCUGUUACAUCGAAGGAAAAGAGGAAACUGUAAUCCAAAUGGACUUAGAUUGCUACACAGUCAAUUUUAAAGAAAUGAGGGAAACUUUAAUAUGGGAAAAACGGAGGCAAAAAAUUUUCGAGAACCUGCUGCUGCUUUACUCCAAUUUCAAUUUCAUAAGUCCUUCUCCCCGUGAUCUUAAUUCGUUAAAUCAAAACUAGUGGAAGUUCAAGCGAGACUUUGUGAAGACUUCUUCCACAAAUGGUCCUAACAAAGAGAGUGCAGAACUUUUAUUCGUUUUCUCAAACCAUGAUGGGUUAAUUAAUAUUACGCACCAUGGAUCCUUGAUAAACUCACCCGAUUGAGGGUGUGGACUAUGAGGCGGAUAUCAAUUAGUGUACAUGAUAACUGCUUUUUAAAAAAAUAAAUGUUCAGUUCUGUACUUUAAAAUAUGCACGUUUGUAUAUGCAAUGGUUUCCUAACAUAUUUUUGCUGCCUAGAAUUUAGAAAUUUUCUAUUUAAAAAAAAACUAUUAAUUCUAAAUUUGUUUAGGCUGCUUUUUGUUUUGGUGUGAAUACGGCAUUACAGAUGAAAAAUACAAAUGCCGACUUUGAUAUUAAAAUUUACUGCUUAAAUGCACCACUUACAAAUGACUGUUAUGAAUUAUAAAUUAUCUGUAUGUCAAAUAAAGAAAAAUAAUACCU
Cloeon dipterum is the source of this 2054-nucleotide long non-coding RNA. RefSeq lists it as uncharacterized. The transcript has 6 exons. NCBI's taxonomy places the organism in Eukaryota, Metazoa, Arthropoda, Insecta, Ephemeroptera, Baetidae. The record is from RefSeq and is a predicted model, not a curated record.